Molecule: small nucleolar RNA, 131 nt
Organism: Suncus etruscus (white-toothed pygmy shrew)
Lineage: Eukaryota; Metazoa; Chordata; Mammalia; Eulipotyphla; Soricidae
Product: small nucleolar RNA SNORA51
Exons: 1
Source: RefSeq, a predicted model, not a curated record
GGCAUCCCUAUUCUUAAAACAGGCUGUGUUCUUUAUAGACUAUAUAGAAAGAGAAGGUUCAGUAAAUGCACCCCAUAUAUACCUCAAUACAGGCCCUUUGCCUGGUCUGUAUUGUGAAUUGGGGGACAAAA